This 506-nucleotide ribosomal RNA is filed under the name uncultured bacterium. RNAcentral's name for it is "partial 16S ribosomal RNA". It matches the Rfam family "Bacterial small subunit ribosomal RNA", at positions 29 to 523 of the family's 1533-position model. The record is from RNAcentral.
AAUGAACGCUGGCGGUAGGCCUAACACAUGCAAGUCGAACGGCAGCACAGGAGAGCUUGCUCUCUGGGUGGCGAGUGGCGGACGGGUGAGGAAUACAUCGGAAUCUACUCUGUCGUGGGGGAUAACGUAGGGAAACUUACGCUAAUACCGCAUACGACCUACGGGUGAAAGCAGGGGACCUUCGGGCCUUGCGCAAUUGAAUGAGCCGAUGUCGGAUUAGCUAGUUGGCGGGGUAAAGGCCCACCAAGGCGACGAUCCGUAGCUGGUCUGAGAGGAUGAUCGGGCACAGUGGAACUGAGACACGGUCCAGACUCCUACGGGAGGCAGCAGUGGGGAAUAUUGGACGAUGGGCGCAAGCCUGGUCCAGCCAUACCGCGUGGGUGAAGAAGGCCUUCGGGUUGUAAAGCCCUUUUGUUGGGAAAGAAAUCCAGCUGGCUAAUACCCGGUUGGGAUGACGGUACCCAAAGAAUAAGCACCGGCUAACUUCGUGCCAGCCGCCGCGGUAA